RNAcentral lists this ribosomal RNA (438 nucleotides) under uncultured bacterium. RNAcentral's name for it is "partial 16S ribosomal RNA". It matches the Rfam family "Bacterial small subunit ribosomal RNA", at positions 339 to 795 of the family's 1533-position model. The record is from RNAcentral.
CUACGGGACGCUGAAGUGAGGAAUAUUGCGCAAUGGAGGAAACUCUGAUGCAGCAACGCCGCGUGGAGGAUGACGCAUUUCGGUGUGUAAACUCCUUUUAUGAGUCAAGAAAAUGACGGUAGCUCAUGAAUAAGCACCGGCUAACUCCGUGCCAGCAGCCGCGGUAAUACGGAGGGUGCAAGCGUUACUCGGGAUCACUGGGCGUAAAGGACGCGUAGGCGGGAUAUCAAGUCAGGUGUGAAAUCCUACAGCUUAACUGUAGAACUGCACUUGAAACUGGUAACCUAGAGUAUGGAGGGGGAGAUGGAAUUAGUGGUGUAGGGGUAAAAUCCGUAGAUAUCACUAGGAAUACCUAAAGCGAAGGCGAUCUCCUGGAACAUAACUGACGCUAAGGCGUGAAAGCGUGGGGAGCAAACAGGAUUAGAUACCCUAGUAGUC